UUUUUUUUUUCUGGUUUCUUGAGCCAGUAUGUUCCUGGCUGUUCUGGAAUCGCUUUGUAGACCAGGCUGGACUUGAACUCAGAUGACUGCCUCCUUCUGCUUCCCAAGUGUGCUGGUACUAAAGGCUAGUACCACUACUGCCCAGUUCUGUUCGUGCACUGAUACAGGGUCUCAUGUAGCUGAGGCUACCCCUCCUGCCUCCAAACUCCCAACUGCUGGGACAACAAGUGUGUCUGUCCUACUAUAUCCAGUUUUCACGGCUCUGGAGACAGAAACCAGGGCCUUGGGCGUGCUGCGGGGCACUCUGCCCACUGACAUGGAGGAGGACAGAUACCAGGAGUCAGGCUUGGGGUUAUCUAAAGUUAAGUUUCAGAAGGAAAUCUGCCGUGUACACAACCAGCUGCAAUAGGGGAGCCCUGGACCCCUUGCUCAGCCCUGGGCUCCCAUGUGACUGUCCACACAGACUAAGAAGUCCAGCUGCCGUGGGACCUCUGUCCACCCGGCUCUCUUUUGACACAGGGUCUCAUGUAGCCCAGGCUGGAUUUGAACUCCCCAUUCAGCCCAGGAUAACUCUGAGCUGACCUCCCUAGUGCUCUGAUUCCUGUGGAGAUGGGGGUGAAGCCCAGGUCCCCUGCCUGCCUGGCAGGUGCUCUGCCCUCCGAGUCCCACCCACAUCCCUCUAAUUUGCAUCAUUUUCUCAAUUAUCUUUUUUUUUUUUUGACAUCCUGUUGAUCUGGUGGCUUGAGUAAUUCCCACAGUUGACACUGUCCUGAUGUGGGCUGAGGUUGGCUCAGGUCUGUGGUCACAGAGCAUCACAGAAGAGGAGGUGAGGAUACACCAGGCACAGGGACAGGAUGGGGGUGAUGUUCUGUAGGAACCGUGCCCAGAGGUUGGGUUUCAUUUUCUUUUUUUUUUCCCUCCCCACCCCUCAUUUUCUUAAAAUCAUUUAUUGAUCUUUAAUUCCACACAUCAUAAAGUGGACUCGCAGUGGGUAAUGUCACUUAACGGAAUUGAACCCACUUCUCCCAAGACAGUUCAGGCUGGUCUUCCCAAUACUCAGGAAUCAGAGGCAGGAGUUCAACUUCAUCUGUGCCUCGGAGGGGGUGUGGGGGGCGAUGGAUUCUGGGAGGGGAGCCGAGCGCCGGGCUGUGGCUGGGAGGGUGACUGGGUCCCUGGUUACACGUGCAUCCGAGGCUUCACACCCCAGGUGCAGCUACUGAAGUGUGCAGUUCGCCGCUCUUCACACAGCUGCGGGGGCGGCGGGGGUGGCAGGCGGCAGCUUGGUCUACCGAUGUGUUCUCAGGCUCAGCCACUCCCACACAGGGUCCAAUGCCCGGGGACGCAGGUAUUGAGAUGAGCCAGGAGUGGUGAUCAGCAAGGGCCCUGGGAACGGGCUUACACUGGCGUCUCCAUAGCAACGUGGUUCCCGGAAACCAGAAACCAGAGCCUAAAGUGUCCAUCAACAGACAUAGUCCAUCCCCUCCGGACUCCUUGGUCAUGAGAAAAAAGUCACACGACACUUGUUCGUGGAGGGAUUUCAAGGCUCAGUGGCAGGAGCCGGACACACAGCAACACACCUGGGAUCCACUCCCAGGAUGCCGCGGGAGCCCUGGGACGCAGAGACAGGACCGGGGAGAAGAACUGGCCUGCGAGAGGAGGGCGGAGCUUCAGUCUGGGAAUGCUGCUGUGACCGUGUGAGCCAAGCACUGCAUGCGGACCUGUAUCGCGGUAGCGCGUUCCCAGGACACCCGAUAACAGCACAAUUUUAACGUGCCUGGGACAGACCCGGAGGGCGACCAGCCUUGAGCCACCUGCACCAAGGCAGCUCCUGACAAAAGUGGGCAGAGAGUAUCGUCUUGGAGAAUGAGGUCUGUUGGAAGGGACAUGAGAAGACACCCAGCAGCGACACGGAGACACACCCUCAGCCCUGCAUCCUCCAGACCGGAUCUAGGGAGCAUCCCCAGGGUGGUCACCCAGGCCGCAGCAUCACGGACUUCCACCCACUCCGCACCUAGGGUAACAGACACGCGUGUCCCCGACAUCUCAAGGUCCCGUCGUGGAGACUGAGCAGGAACAGCCAUGAGGAGGUGACCGUGAGAAAACUUACAUACACAUGUUCACGCACAGCCAUGCGCAUAUAUUGGCCAAGUGCAUGCAAUGCCCUCAAAGUCCAGAAGGGGCAUCAGAGCCCCGGGGAAUGACGUCACAGACGUUAGGGAUCCUUGUCGGUGCCAGAUACCAAACUUCAGGUCAGAAGCAAAAACAUAUGUUUUUAAAUCCUGCCCAUUGCCACCAGUCCCAGUCAGACCCAUUAAAAUUUUUUAAGUACA
This 2330-nucleotide small RNA is filed under the name Rattus norvegicus (Norway rat). RNAcentral describes it as "uncharacterized LOC102553301". Lineage: Eukaryota; Metazoa; Chordata; Mammalia; Rodentia; Muridae. The record is from RNAcentral.